This is a long non-coding RNA of Drosophila ananassae, 500 nucleotides long. RefSeq lists it as uncharacterized. NCBI's taxonomy places the organism in Eukaryota, Metazoa, Arthropoda, Insecta, Diptera, Drosophilidae. The transcript is spliced from 2 exons. The record is from RefSeq and is a predicted model, not a curated record.
GAAAAUCGCUACUUUUCUACUACUACUACUAUCGCUACUAAGUCAUUAACCGACUAUACUUGCUCAUGACUCUACUCAACUACCAUCUGAAUCAUUGACCAGGACAAUGAUGCCUUUUUGCGGAGGUGUUUUUGCCAAUAGAUGGUGGGCUACCUUUUUAUGUUUAGAUUUUAUGGCCUACAUUUCUAAAAACCUAUAUAUGUAUGUAUACUGCGAGCAAAGGAAAGAAUAUGCGAAAAGUUUAAAGUCGUCAACACUGAAAUAGAUCGACUUAGAUGAUCCUGAUGAAGAAUAUACAGGGUCGGAGAUGUUUCCACUUGUCCCACUUUUGACCAUAAUAUAUUUAUAUGUAUGUAAAAAAUUAUGUGCAUACAUACAGAAAAUUAAAAACCAAACUUGCCUGAGAAAAGUCUGAUCAUAAAUAUAUUACCCUGCCAGUGUACACAAAUAAAAUAGGAUAGCUCUUUAAAGUUUUAUUGCAAAAUUAUGUAGUACAUUAA